CCCUUCGUUUCUACUUUUUCUAUCCCCGUCUCUGUCUCUGUCUCUGUCGCUCGCUUGCUCGAUCCCCUUUCGUAGGAGAAGAAAAAGUAGAAAUAAAACUAGAGAAGACUAGCUUUCUACUUGAAAUUAACUAACGCUACGGAGAUAUCGUCUAUUUCCGAAAAUUUCGAUCUUUGCCUCUUUUAAGGAUAGUAGCCCGGACUCGAAACGAUCCAACCAGCCAACUAGUAACGCGUAGAAUAAAGUUUGAAAAUCGGGCGGCGCCGUGAGUUCGCCGAUGCUCUGCCACUCUGUCCCGACAACGUAUCGAGGUUACGACAAACGUGGCGCUAUUCGUGGCGCUAUCCCGGAAAACUGGCAAAUAUACGAUGAUAUCGUGAGAAGAGAUCUUACACGAUACGAGAGGCUGUGUCCCUCGAAUCUUUUAUCUCGCGUCCAGGCGAUUAUUCUCUUAAACUUUUACCAAUGAAACUUUACGGCCAAAGUCAAAACAUUUUUCUCAAUACCGCGCUCUCAUUUUCUCCGCGUUGGCUUCGCUUUUUUAGUCCGCAAAGCGCGGUGGCGGCGCUAGCUUGUGCCUAUGAUUCAUAAAAAUAAACAAACAUCGACAGGAUUAUCAGGAUGCGGGGAUGAGACAUGGCUUCGCGAAGAAAAGUGUAUAGAAAUAUCGAUAAAUAUCGAUUUUUCUCUGAGAGGAAGUCGGUUGACGACAAUACGAACAGAAUCGGAAAAGUAAACAGCUCCUGAAAGAACGAGGCACGGUGAAUGAUACAAUACAGUACGAUAGAUACAAUACAAUUCGAAACGAUAUGAUACGAGUCGAUCAGAUUUGAAUCGACGAGGUUGCCAAUAAGCAAGUAGGUUAGAAGAAACUGCAAUGCGGAUUUUAAACGAAUCAGAAACCAGUUACGUGUGUAGUGUAAUAAUGAAAAAAGUAGUCCGGCAUGACAAGAUGCAAUGAUGUUUAUUGAAUAUGUAUUUUUUAUGUAUUCACGUAAAGAUACGUACACGUACAUACAAGUGUAAAGCGAGAAAGAGAAGCAAUAAAUGUAUGUAAGAAUGUUCGAUGUACAUACGUACAUAUAAGCAUUCAUAUAAAUGAAUAUAUAUAUAUGUGUUUACUAUCAAAAAAAGUUGUAUAAUACUGUACUUACAUCUUUUAAGUCCUGGAGAAGGAUUCCUAAUGCGUCUUCAUUGAUUAUGAACGAUGAAAUAAAUAGUUCCUAUAAAA
Molecule: long non-coding RNA, 1231 nt
Organism: Bombus huntii
Lineage: Eukaryota; Metazoa; Arthropoda; Insecta; Hymenoptera; Apidae
Exons: 3
Source: RefSeq, a predicted model, not a curated record